AUUGCUCCUUUUAUUUUCGAAAACCAAUAAUAGGUGGACACCACCCUCCUUGCCUGUUCUUUUCUUCGAAAACAAUAGGGGAUAAAGGUUCGUGGCGAAAAAAGGUUCAAGGAAUUCUUCGUGGGUUGAAGGUUCGUCAGUUGAAGAAGAUUGAAGGUUCGUGGGGAGGAGUGACGAAGACUGGAUGUUCGUGGAGAUGGUUCGUGGCGAAAAGGUUUUAGGGAUUUGCAGGAAGAAGUUGGAUGUGGCGGCUGCGGCUGGUGUUGGCAGCUGCUGCUGUUGUUUUUGAUACGGAUUGGGUGAAGAACAAAGACGACAGAUGAACAAGAUGUUUCACGGACCAAAACUCUGUUCUGAUACCAUGUUGUAAAUAAUAAUCAGAGACAAAGGAUAAUUGAAAAGAACUGAAUUUUAUUGAUUUAAAUCUUGCAUGCAAAACAGGAAAUUAUUGAUUUAAAUCUUGCAUGCAAAACAGGAAAAACGAGCCUUUAUUUAUAGGCUUUACAAGAACGAAUAAAAAGGAAAGACUUAAAUAUGGAGAUGAUGUUGAGGAUCCAUUAUUUUUCUAAAUUAUUUUUUUUCUUUUUCUAACAAAAAAAUGUAAUUAAGCACAGCUUAUUUUAUCUUAUAUGCCAUUAAGAAAAAUUAUAAUAUUCUAAGAGAAUAACUACAGUUUCUAUCAGCAGACUAAUUACCAAAUUUUACUUUAAUGUCGUUCUGCUCGUUCAUCUAUUUGUUCCCCACUCUGACAUGAGAAUUAGAAUACAAUAUUUAAUCAAGCAAAAUAAGAUGAUGAAGACGAUGUAUCCGCCAACACCUGCAAGGAUCGACAAUAAUUUUAGAAAAAUUAUUAAUUUCUUGAAAACGAAUUAAUGAGUUCUAACGCUACCUCAAGUUGUUCUUCAGUGAAUGAAUCUUUCUGAACACUCCAAGUAUCUGCAUGGGUCCGGCGGAACUCCGCAACUGCCUUUGUAACGGUUGAUUUUACAGGUGAUGGCUCACCGACAAAACGUGCCAAUAAGGUGGCAUGCUCAGGCAACCAACUAAAACAUAAUAAAUGAGUUUCAGAAAUUUUACAAAUAACUAUUUUUAUACAUUUAUU
This 1102-nucleotide long non-coding RNA is filed under the name Helianthus annuus (common sunflower). RNAcentral's name for it is "hypothetical non coding rna". Lineage: Eukaryota; Viridiplantae; Streptophyta; Magnoliopsida; Asterales; Asteraceae. The record is from RNAcentral.